UGGGGAAUAUUGGGCAAUGGGGGAAACCCUGACCCAGCAACGCCGCGUGAAGGAAGAAGGCUUUCGGGUUGUAAACUUCUUUUAAGAGGGACGAACACAAUGACGGUACCUCUUGAAUAAGCCACGGCUAACUACGUGCCAGCAGCCGCGGUAAUACGUAGGUGGCGAGCGUUAUCCGGAUUUACUGGGUGUAAAGGGCGCGUAGGCGGGUCUGCAAGUCAGAUGUGAAAUACCGGGGCUUAACCCCGGGGCUGCAUUUGAAACUGUUGUUCUUGAGUGUCGGAGAGGAAAGCGGAAUUCCUAGUGUAGCGGUGAAAUGCGUAGAUAUUAGGAGGAACACCAGUGGCGAAGGCGGCUUUCUGGACGACAACUGACGCUGAGGCGCGAAAGCGUGGGGAGCAAACAGG
This 407-nucleotide ribosomal RNA is filed under the name uncultured prokaryote. RNAcentral describes it as "bacterial SSU rRNA". It matches the Rfam family "Bacterial small subunit ribosomal RNA", at positions 355 to 776 of the family's 1533-position model. RNAcentral also lists the same sequence under 1 other name. The record is from RNAcentral.